This is a long non-coding RNA of Acipenser ruthenus (sterlet), 3278 nucleotides long. RefSeq lists it as uncharacterized. The record is from RefSeq and is a predicted model, not a curated record. The transcript has 3 exons. Lineage: Eukaryota; Metazoa; Chordata; Actinopteri; Acipenseriformes; Acipenseridae.
AAUAUGGCUCUUUAAGAACUCUCAGCUUAUUAAUAUGGCUCUUUAAGAACUCUCAGCUUAUUAAUAUGGCUCUUUAAGAACUCACAGCUUAUUAAUAUGGCUCUUUCAGCCAAAAAGGUUGUCCAGCUACUGUAUGAGGUGGAGUAUUGCUUGUAUGUGAUAAUGUGCCUUGAAUUACAGAUUAAAAAAAUACAAUUGUAUUUACAAAGUUACACCUGUGUGCUCAAAGAGCUCUGAAAGUAAAGAGGGUGAUGUUUGAAGUUAUUUAAUGCUAAAAGGAAUUUGAUGGGAAGUUUUUCUGUGCCUCUAAGGAAAAGACAGCUGUCACCAUUACAGGCAACAGGUUCUACCAGCAGUCCAGUGCUACACAAUGUGAAUCCGAAAAAAUGUUUUACUCAAGUCAAUUGUAAAUAGAAAAGGCAGGUUAUCAUGGACGGAGUAACUCAGACCCUGGGGUUACACAUUUCAGGAACUUAUGUUACACAACCAGCACCAGAUCAAUGAUGCCUUUCGAUCGCUUCCGAUGAGUGGAGAGCUGAACACACAUCACCCUGAGCCACUAGCUCUCCAUCGGUUAGAUCUGAUCUCUACUCACCUAUACAGACGAUGUCCAUGAAGCCGUACAUGCCGUAGCAGAUCUGGAAGAGCAGGUCCUGGCGUUGCCACUUGGCGGAGGGGCUGAAUGACGACCAGAAGAGCCAGGAGAUGCUGGCAAUGAGGAAGAGCGUGCCCAGGACGGCAGCCACAAUCUGCACCUUCUCAAUCACUGUCAGAGAGAUGGCCUGCCACUGCCACACCAUAGAGGAAAUGCUAUCAGAGCCCUGAAGACUGACCCUCAAACUCGCAUAGAGGGACACUUGUAGCAUACAGUAGUACUGCUUGGUUACAAACUCAGAUCAGCAUUUCAUCAACAAAUUAUGAUGUGUUUGUUUUGUUAUAUAGGCUAGGAGUCUAUGAUAUUUGGAGAUCUGUGAAAAUUCAAGGCAGAUAUUGUCUUCACUGUAGAUAGACACGAUCAAAACUGCAUAAACUUAAGAGAUGUAUGGAACAUACAGGAAGAAUAAUAGUGCUUGGAUGGUGUAGAAUGAGUAGGUGGUUCAAUUAUAACACAAGUUAGCUUUAAUCAAUUCACAUUUAAGGGCACUAACAAUCUGUCUUAAAUAAGUUCAAAAAGCAUGAGUGCAUUUAGAGCACUUCCCAUUUGGGUGAGCUUUGAGUGGUGGCGCUGACCUGCAGUGGGUUCUUGGUGCUGAUAGCGAUGACGUGGUAUUUGUAGUAGCAGAGCUCACAGCUCCAGGAUCCCCUCUCACUGACCCACUUGAUCAGGCAGGGCUGGUGGGUGGACCGGACCGAACCUUUGCAGUGGCAUGGGCUCAGCAGCUCCCCCUACAGGGAAGAGACAAGUAGAAAACGUUGUUCCACUGGUAUAUCAUUUUUGCUAAAUGGGAUAUGGCUGGCUAAUACAGCUUCCCAGGGAGCUGACUGUUUGAACAGCCCAAGGGAGUUCAUCCUCCUGUCUUUCACACCCUCCCUUUAUCCUAACUCUUCCACCACUGAGGAGACAGACCUCGUAGCCAUGAGGUUGAACUCUGGUCCCAAAGGUUCCCUUAUAAUGUUUACCACAGUAAAUUUGCACUGUAAUUUUGCAGUUUUAAUAAUGCACACCUAUGUUUUACCACACUUUCACAAUAGUUUAUUGCACUUUGCUGUGCUUUUACUACGGGAAACUUUUAUAAGUGUCUAUCUAGUCCAGCUUUUUUUUUUUUUGCAUUUAAUAUUUUUGUGAUUUUUUGGUUUUGCUUUUCAUGGCUCUUUAAGUACUCUCUGGUCUUUGAUAUGGUUUUUUAUGUAUGUUAAAUUAAUUCACCAGGUGUUGUUACCCAGUGUGUAAGAGAAGUUAUUCUAAUGAGAUGAGAGUAGCGCUGUGUGAUUAAAUUACACACUCCAGGAGCAGGGUGUUAAUGGACUAAGGGGUGAACUUUUCUGCAGAUUUCCACCCCCAUCUUCCCUGAAGCAAUGAGAGGCUGUAAUUAUUAAACAUUGAAUCAGUGCUGUAUAAGCGCAAUUACACACUCCACUAUCAUAUACAAUGUAGUGUGUUAUUACUUUGAAAAACACAAAAGAACUGCAAAAUUACUGUGGUGAGCUUUUAAGAAUUCCUCCUAUUCACAGUGUUAUGCAGUAGUUUCUAAGUGUUUAACAUGUAUCAAAUCUAGUAUUAGUAUUAACAGUAGUAUUAAUGUAGUACCAGUUAACUUUUAUUACAAGCAGGUCAGAAAGUAUAAUCUCUGAUCUGACUGCAUCAAGACCAUUAGAGUAACGUUCACCUACAGCACAGGAAGCGAUUAGAUAUCACCAUUUACAUGCAGGAAAAUAAUUAAAGUAAAAAAAAGUAACUAGUACAUCAUCAUUACACUUAUAAGGGGGCAGUGAUAAUGCUGCAAAUACCAAUGAGAGUAAGAGAUAAUACAAUGGAUUUAAAAAGCCUUGCGUAACACUCCUUUUGGAAUACAUACAGGUCAACAAUGAAGAGAGUAAUCUAUCAUCUUCAUUAUGGUUUCACCCAGUUACCGAUAAUCAUGUCCUCUGGCAUUCCCUGUGUGACAGACUGGCAGUACUGGGCAAGGACCCACUCUCAGCAUGAUUAAAGGCAGGCAAGCAUGUGUUAUCAUAUGAUGUAUGAUGUCUGUUGUGUGCUUCACCAAGGUUCACUCUACUUCCAUCAGACAGCCAUUGAUCUGGGGACAGCCUCCUCUAUGAUCAACUAAACUAAGAAUCUAAUUGUUUAUGAACGCCUUCUUAAGAUCUGACUGCUCGACCAGUACAGAACCUUCUGUUCCGUCUGUCUGUCUUCUUAUUCCAUUUCGUCUGCAUAUUAAUCGAUUAGUCUCUUGCCCACCGUGCUGUAAUAUUUUAAUAUGUCAUGUGUAGGGUGUCUCUUAUUGUAAUCUUGUGUGGUUCUCGCUGCUCAAAUCAUGCAACAAUUAUGGUAUAAUAAGAGACAUACAACACAUAUUAACUUAUUAUAAAUAGAAGAUUGUACUCAUGAGCAACUAAACUUAAAACAAUUAAACCUAAAAAAAUUGUUGCUUUUUGCCAAUACAUGCACUGUCUCUUAUAAAUAUUUACUGUGGUUUCCAAGGUGAAGAACAUGCAUGGGGACUGCUAUCUGAUUACCUAAUUUUAUAAUGUUAUGUCAUGCUGUUCCAUUCUUACCGUAUUAUCACAAAUAUAAGCUCAUAAGGGUUCACUUUUAUGCAAAUAUAGGCACAUUAAUG